GAUUAAAAUAGUUUUGUGUAAGCCUUUAGGUUGACCCUAUUGGAAGAAAAACAAUUCAUUUUCGUUCUCUUGGUUUUUGGCUCUUUCUCUUGUAAUUUUGGUCUCUCUAAUCCUCUCAUUUCUGUAAAUAAGAUCUGUGGUUAUAGAUUCUAUGUUGGAAAUCAGAUCUUGGUCUUGAUUUUUGGCCUUCAGUCUGGUGUGAAUGUGGCUGUAGUGUUGGUAGGGUAUGGUGUUUAUUUUCAGGCAAUCUUUUUAGGGCUUUUUGUUCUUUGGGUCGAUAAGGUGUAAUUUUGGUGAGAUCUUUAUAGAUCGAUGAUCGGUUGUUAGUCGUGUGUGGACUGAUUGCUAUACCCAAACUUUUACUCUCUCUUGGGAGGUUCUUGCAUAUAAUCAUAUACUUUGGCUCAUAUUUAUGCGGAUGUAGCUCAGAUCGUUGAGGAUUCCACUUCCGUAGGUUUUGUAAAAGUUGAAUGAGAGGGAGACUCAAAGCAAAGAAAUAAUUUUUCCCGAUGUAAAUCUUUUUUUUUGAUGGAUCUGAGUUGUGCCCUUUCAAUAUAGGUGUUUGCCUACAGGCUCGUCAACCUAUCUACUUGAUAUCUGAGGCCUCUGCUACUUUUGAGUCAAUUAAAGCUUCGGACUUAAUCUGUCAAUGUUAUAGUAUGCUUCUCUUCUCUCAUUUUCAGGUAGAGAAAGAUUUGUGUGCAUCAUGUUGUUAUUCACUGCUGCUGAUUCAUUGAUUCUUGCCCAUAGGUUGAUAGUUAGCAAAAGAUGUGGUAGUUCUUGAGGGAUGUUGAACGGGUUCGUCAUUUUUUCGGUGAGCCUAUAUGUUCCUGAUUACGCAACUUCGACUAUUACAUAUGAGCUACAACACCAUGGGGACAGAACCAAUACCCGCGUAACUCCUUCUCGGCGAUCCGACAGGAGGAUCGACACCCGAAAGUGUGCAAAGUGGGAUCCCCAAGAACACCACAUUUUCAUCUCCGUGGCAGAGCACGUAACUGCCAAAGGACAUCGUCGUGGUAAAUGCUUUACAACUGCCAGAUGGGAGCGCAUCCGAGAAUUGUUCAAUAAACGUGCUAGGAAGGAUUGGACAAUCACUCAACUGAAGAACCACUGGGGCAUUACGAACAGAUCACAACCUCCUGCUAGAGUUGCUUCGAUGUUCAGGGAUUCACUACAGGCUGAACUCAAGGGGCAGAAUCGAAGCAGAUGAUUGGUGGUGGGAGCAGAAAAUAAAGGAGAAUCCAAAGUACGGGAAGUUCCGCUACAACGACAACAGUGAAAUUUUCCACACAUAUGGAAAACUGUUUGGUGCCACUCUAGACUCUACGAAGUACGCAUUAACGCCGACGAAACUCUCACAACACGAUCUCGAUGUGAGCUCAAACUGUGAUGCACAAGCAGAUUUCAAUGACAUGCUGUCGAUCAAUGCAAAGACUACGGACUCAAGUGAUGGGCCGGCGAAGGGCAGAUUGAACUCUUUGAUGGACAUUUUCGUUGGCCGAAGUGGUGAGAAGAGUAAAGGGAAGUAGGCGCAGGGGACGGGGAAGAAGAAGGAGUUCAGAGCGAGGGAGUUUUCCGAAUCUGUGGACAAUUUGGCCAGUGCGUCAUGGGAGUUUACAUCUAUCCUUUGCUCCCAAGACAAAGGUGUAAUGACAAUAGCAAAAUGCUUGAAUGAUUUGCUGAAUGAUUUGCUAUCUACCGCCCUCGUCAAAAGUGGGGACGAGCUUCAUUUGUUCGCUUUGUGGUUCUUUCAUGACUUCACCAACCAUGCAGCAUAUGCUGCUGCUAAAAUGUCGAAGCUUCGUUUUGCAUGGAUUUAGUACUAUUUCAAACGCGACAAGGAGUCGAAGGAAGUAAAGUCUUCAAGGAGUUGGCCCAGACUGUAGUUGACUGUUGCUUGUGUAUGUGUGAGUUUAUUAUGUAGGUCCAAUUGUUUGUAUUCGUAUAUGUUACCAAUAAUUUUGGGUAUUUCCUACCAUCAUAUGUCGUGUGUCCAGACUUGGAGACAUGUUGUUCCUACUUUGUAAUAAUUAUAGUUUACAAAGUAGGGUCACUGCAUGAACUUCUUUUAUGUAUUAUCUAUGAAAGCAUGCAUGAGGAAUAUAUUCCCUGUACCAUGUAGAGAAUAUAUUCCUCUUUUGAAAUUGGCCA
Olea europaea var. sylvestris is the source of this 2154-nucleotide long non-coding RNA. RefSeq lists it as uncharacterized. NCBI's taxonomy places the organism in Eukaryota, Viridiplantae, Streptophyta, Magnoliopsida, Lamiales, Oleaceae. The transcript has 5 exons. The record is from RefSeq and is a predicted model, not a curated record.